CAGUAGCCGCGGGAACACGUAGGUGGCAAGCGUUGUCCGGAAUUAUUGGGCGUAAAGCGUGCGCAGGCGGUUCUAUAAGACAGAUGUGAAUCCCCGGGCUCAACCUGGGAACUGCAUUUGUGACUGUAGAGCUGGAGUGCGGCAGAGGGGGAUGGAAUUCCGCGUGUAGCAGUGAAAUGCGUAGAUAUGCGGAGGAACACCGAUGGCGAAGGCGAUCCCCUGGGCCUACACUGACGCUCAUGCACGAAAGCGUGGGGAGCAAACAGGAUUAGAUACCCCCGUAGUCCCUGUCUCUUAUACA
Molecule: ribosomal RNA, 301 nt
Filed under: uncultured bacterium
Lineage: Bacteria
Description: partial 16S ribosomal RNA
Rfam family: Bacterial small subunit ribosomal RNA
Source: RNAcentral